CGGCAUCGCGCAAAUUUUCACCUCAUUCGUUUGCCAAACCCGCCAUCGCUGGGCAGAAAAUUCUUUAAAGCUGCGAGUGCAAAUCAGCCGUAUCGGGAUUUGUGUAAAUUUUGUGCCACGCAAAGUAGUCGCCAGUGAGCCCGGAAAAAAGACAGAGCUUUUGAUAACCGUUGGGAAGAUCCGACAGCAAACCCAGCACCAGGAAAAUAUCGGUUCCGGUGUCACGUGGAAGAAAGCCGCGAUUGCUGCUGAAAAUCGGAAAACGCGUGGAAAACGGGAACAUCAAGGUGCAGCGGUCGCUGCGGAAACACUGACGAAAGCAUUUGCUGACAGGAGAAUCGAUACGAAUAUCAGAACAAGCGGCACGAUCCGGUUGCAGGCGCUGAGCAACGCAGUUGGGCACGACGAGAAGGUGAAGACCAGUUAGUGGUUAGUGCACGGUUGGCUCUAUCAAAAACCCAGAGCGAAAGGGGACCGACAAAAGGUGGCAGCCAUAAUCACCAAUUCACAAACAGCAAAGCCGACUCGUAUUCAGCAAAAGAAACCCCAUUGGGGUUCUUUUUUAGAGCUGGUUGGCCGUUCUUUCAUCUCGGGUGGCACGAGCGAGACACGGAAGGUGGGCUGCGAGGUUGAGAGCCGGAAGGUUGUCACAGUCCUCAGCGCGAAUCUUUGCAGGAGGUGGGAUAGCAGCAGCACAGUGUCCUGGGGCUUGUCGGAGAUCCGCACACAACCACGUGGAAAUAAUCAACGUGAAUCGAAGGUGCCUCGGAGGGACCCCAUCCAGCAACUCGGUCGCACUGGACGGCCAGAGGGGUCUCCAGCGGAGGCAGCAACCUUGUGAGUGGCGCGGCGAGGGACAGCGCGGCGAGCUUUUGGCAGAA
Molecule: long non-coding RNA, 881 nt
Organism: Armigeres subalbatus
Lineage: Eukaryota; Metazoa; Arthropoda; Insecta; Diptera; Culicidae
Exons: 3
Source: RefSeq, a predicted model, not a curated record